AUUUCUAAGUUUACGAAGGGGAAAAAUAGGUGGGCACCUUACCUUACAAGUCUCUUCUUCACAAUAAUAUCAUCUCAGCUGUCUCUGUGUUGUUUUUGCAAGUCUUCUCUAUUUCUUGCUGAGAUCUAGAGACAAAGCCCUAAAACUAAAAAGCAAAAAUGGCGGAAGAGAAGGAUCCCACUUCUAUACCACUAAGUCAAGCUUCUGAAGAUCCUGAAGACCCCAUCAAAUCUACUCCUGCUUCACCCAAUUCUUCUACCCGCAAGGCUUGCUGUUAUUUUCUUCAAAGUUGGGUAUCUAAGAAGUUUAUGACUGGAUGUGUGGUUCUCUUCCCUGUGGCGGUUACAUUCUUUGUGACAUGGUGGUUUAUUCAGUUUGUUGAUGGUUUCUUCAGUCCACUAUAUGAACAACUUGGCAUUGACAUAUUUGGACUAGGAUUUGUCACAUCUCUUGUUUUUGUAUUCUUAGUUGGAGUUUUUGUUUCAUCCUGGCUGGGUGCUACUGUUUUUUGGAUUGGGGAAUGGAUUAUUAAACGAAUGCCAUUUGUCAGACACUUAUAUUCGGCUUCAAAGCAGAUCAGUUCUGCAGUGUCUCCAGAUCAAAACACCACCGCUUUUAAGGAAGUGGCAAUUAUUCGUCAUCCCCGUGUGGGGGAAUAUGCUUUUGGUUUUAUAACAUCAUCAGUUACCCUUCAGACAGAAGAAGGGGAUGAAGAAUUGUAUAGUGUUUUUGUCCCUACAAACCAUUUGUACAUUGGUGAUGUACUCCUGGUUAACGCCAAUGAUGUCAUAAAACCAAACAUGUCCAUCCGUGAAGGCAUUGGUAUGUCUCUGGUUUUCUGGUAACUCGUCUUUAAUAUGUCACUCCUUGUUUUGUACUAGUAGCUCGGUUGACUGGUUGAAGCAUGCAUCUUAGUUGAUGGUGUCUUUAGUUUACUGAGUUAUCCAACUUUCUAAAACUAACCAACAUAAGCUUAUCCAUGAGAUCAUUGUUUCCGGAGGAAUGACCAUGCCUCAAAGGAUCUCUCAUGUGGCAAGAGUUGCGCGACAAAGUGAAAGAAUUCCACUGAACAGAAUUAAGUAAAAAUAGUGAUGAACAUGACAAUGUAGGACGGUUUGUAAUUAGUCAAGGAGGGAAAGAAAAAUCAUAUAUACAUUGCUGUAAUUUUUCGGAUCGAUCCGAUAUAUGUUGUAUUAUGUCUCUGUUCUGAAGAUACAGUAAAGUUCUCGUUGAAGGUUUAAAUUCAUGUCCAUCUCAGGCAAUCAAACAGAUAUAUCCAGUUAUCAUGUUGUCCCAACAUGGGUGAAUGUAAAAAUAUUAGUAAA
Non-coding RNA from Solanum lycopersicum (tomato), 1325 nucleotides. NCBI's taxonomy places the organism in Eukaryota, Viridiplantae, Streptophyta, Magnoliopsida, Solanales, Solanaceae. The record is from RefSeq and is a predicted model, not a curated record.